AACCUUACCUGGUCUUGACAUCCACGGAAUUUGGCAGAGAUGCCUUAGUGCCUUCGGGAACCGUGAGACAGGUGCUGCAUGGCUGUCGUCAGCUCGUGUUGUGAAAUGUUGGGUUAAGUCCCGCAACGAGCGCAACCCUUAUCCUUUGUUGCCAGCGGUCCGGCCGGGAACUCAAAGGAGACUGCCAGUGAUAAACUGGAGGAAGGUGGGGAUGACGUCAAGUCAUCAUGGCCCUUACGACCAGGGCUACACACGUGCUACAAUGGCGCAUACAAAGAGAAGCGACCUCGCGAGAGCAAGCGGACCUCAUAAAGCUCCUCUAUCCGGAUUGGAGUCUGCAACUCGACUCGCAUGAAGUCGGAAUCGCUAGUAAUCGUGGAUCAGAAUG
This 388-nucleotide ribosomal RNA is filed under the name Pantoea sp. FES36. RNAcentral's name for it is "bacterial SSU rRNA". It matches the Rfam family "Bacterial small subunit ribosomal RNA", at positions 967 to 1356 of the family's 1533-position model. The record is from RNAcentral. Lineage: Bacteria; Pseudomonadati; Pseudomonadota; Gammaproteobacteria; Enterobacterales; Erwiniaceae.